Molecule: transfer RNA, 56 nt
Filed under: Lachnospiraceae bacterium
Lineage: Bacteria; Bacillati; Bacillota; Clostridia; Lachnospirales; Lachnospiraceae
Description: tRNA-Ser
Rfam family: tRNA
About the family: Transfer RNA (tRNA) molecules are approximately 80 nucleotides in length. Their secondary structure includes four short double-helical elements and three loops (D, anti-codon, and T loops). Further hydrogen bonds mediate the characteristic L-shaped molecular structure. tRNAs have two regions of fundamental functional importance: the anti-codon, which is responsible for specific mRNA codon recognition, and the 3' end, to which the tRNAs corresponding amino acid is attached (by aminoacyl-tRNA synthetases). tRNAs cope with the degeneracy of the genetic code in two manners: having more than one tRNA (with a specific anti-codon) for a particular amino acid; and 'wobble' base-pairing, i.e. permitting non-standard base-pairing at the 3rd anti-codon position.
Source: RNAcentral
AGAGCACCUGACUCUUAAUCAGGGUGUCCAGGGUUCGAACCCCUGGAGGCGCAUCA